RNAcentral lists this ribosomal RNA (253 nucleotides) under uncultured bacterium. RNAcentral's name for it is "partial 16S ribosomal RNA". It matches the Rfam family "Bacterial small subunit ribosomal RNA", at positions 524 to 776 of the family's 1533-position model. The record is from RNAcentral.
UACGUAGGGUGCAAGCGUUGUCCGGAAUUAUUGGGCGUAAAGAGCUCGUAGGCGGUCUGUUGCGUCGGCUGUGAAAACCCGGGGCUCAACUCCGGGCCUGCAGCCGAUACGGGCAGACUAGAGUUCGGCAGGGGAGACUGGAAUUCCUGGUGUAGCGGUGAAAUGCGCAGAUAUCAGGAGGAACACCGAUGGCGAAGGCAGGUCACUGGGCCGCAACUGACGCUGAGGAGCGAAAGCAUGGGGAGCGAACAGG